Molecule: ribosomal RNA, 431 nt
Filed under: Bos taurus (domestic cattle)
Lineage: Eukaryota; Metazoa; Chordata; Mammalia; Artiodactyla; Bovidae
Description: similar to 16S ribosomal RNA
Rfam family: Bacterial large subunit ribosomal RNA
Source: RNAcentral
CUAUGUGGCAAAAAUAGUGAGAAGAUUUGUAAGUAGAGGUGACANGCCUAACGAGCCUGGUGAUACUGGUUGUCCAGAAAAUGAAUCUAAGUUCAGCUUUAAGAGAUACCGAAGAGAUUCGAAAUAAACCCCCUGUAGCUUUAAAAGUUAGUCUAAAAAGGUACAGCCUUUUAGAAACGGAUACAACCUUGACUAGAGAGUAAAAUUUAACACUACCAUAGUAGGCCUAAAAGCAGCCAUCAAUUAAGAAAGCGUUAAAGCUCAACAACAAAAAUUAAAUAGAUUCCAACAACAAAUGAUUAACUCCUAGCCCCAAUACUGGACUAAUCUAUUAUAGAAUAGAAGCAAUAAUGUUAAUAUGAGUAACAAGAAAAAUUUUCUCCUUGCAUAAGUCUAAGUCAGUGCCUGAUUAUACUCUGACCACUAACAGU